Molecule: RNA transcript, 1904 nt
Organism: Piliocolobus tephrosceles (Ugandan red Colobus)
Lineage: Eukaryota; Metazoa; Chordata; Mammalia; Primates; Cercopithecidae
Gene: JMJD6
Gene name: jumonji domain containing 6, arginine demethylase and lysine hydroxylase
Exons: 7
Source: RefSeq, a predicted model, not a curated record
GGGCAGUGACGCAUCCGACGUGACCUUCCCAACAUGGCGGAGGCCCGCCGUGUGUGAGGGCGGACCCCAGGGGCGCCGAAGCCAAUGGCAGACCGCGAGAGGCGUGGGGACUGGGAGGACGGCGGCCGCUUGCCCAACCCGAGGCUCGGGAGGUGGCUGGGAAGUGAAUUUUCUGGAAGGCGACUUUAAAGGCGCCGGGACUGAGCGAAGGGCGUUUUGGUGCUGCCGCCGUCGCCGCCGCCCAUCCCGGGGAGGGGUGCGUUAGUGGCAGGAAGCGGGCUGCGCCGAGGUCGUAGCGGAACCAGCUGGCGACCCCGCAGAAUGAACCACAAGAGCAAGAAGCGCAUCCGCGAGGCCAAGCGGAGUGCGCGGCCGGAGCUCAAGGACUCGCUGGAUUGGACCCGGCACAACUACUACGAGAGCUUCUCGCUGAGUCCGGCGGCCGUGGCGGAUAACGUGGAAAGGGCAGAUGCUUUACAGCUGUCUGUGGAAGAGUUUGUGGAGCGGUAUGAAAGACCUUACAAGCCCGUGGUUUUGUUGAAUGCACAAGAGGGCUGGUCUGCGCAGGAGAAAUGGACUCUGGAGCGCCUGAAAAGGAAAUAUCGGAACCAGAAGUUCAAGUGUGGUGAGGAUAACGAUGGCUACUCAGUGAAGAUGAAGAUGAAAUAUUACAUCGAGUACAUGGAGAGCACUCGAGAUGACAGUCCCCUUUACAUCUUUGACAGCAGCUAUGGUGAACACCCUAAAAGAAGGAAACUUUUGGAAGACUACAAGGUGCCCAAGUUUUUCACUGAUGACCUUUUCCAGUAUGCUGGGGAGAAGCGCAGGCCCCCUUACAGGUGGUUUGUGAUGGGGCCACCACGCUCUGGAACUGGGAUUCACAUCGACCCUCUGGGGACCAGUGCCUGGAAUGCCUUAGUUCAGGGCCACAAGCGCUGGUGCCUGUUUCCUACUAGCACUCCCAGGGAACUCAUCAAGGUGACCCGAGAGGAAGGAGGGAACCAGCAAGACGAAGCCAUUACCUGGUUUAAUGUUAUUUAUCCCCGGACACAGCUUCCAACCUGGCCACCUGAAUUCAAACCCCUGGAAAUCUUACAGAAACCAGGAGAGACUGUCUUUGUACCAGGAGGGUGGUGGCAUGUUGUCCUCAAUCUCGACACUACUAUCGCCAUCACCCAAAACUUUGCCAGCAGCACCAACUUCCCUGUGGUAUGGCACAAGACGGUAAGAGGGAGACCAAAGUUAUCAAGGAAAUGGUAUAGAACAGAUACAGCACGGGCAGCGGCAGUGCAAGCCACCCACAGCCACCCCGUGCCACUGUGUCCCAACCCUGACCUGGAGGGACCAGCUCUCGGGGAUCUUGAAGCAAGAGCACCCCGAGUUGGCAGUCCUGGCAGACUCGGUUGACCUUCAGGAGUCCACAGGGAUAGCCUCCGACAGCUCCAGCGACUCUUCCAGCUCCUCCAGCUCCAGUUCGUCAGACUCCGACUCAGAGUGCGAGUCUGGAUCCGAGGGCGAUGGGACAGUGCACCGCAGGAAGAAGAGGAGGACGUGCAGCAUGGUGGGAAACGGGGACACCACCUCCCAGGACGACUGUGUCAGCAAAGAGCGCAGCUCCUCCAGGUGACCCAGCAAGGCUAUUGUCUGUAUGGAAGGACACGCUCGCGGCAAGGGCAGGGCCUGGGGAGGGCGGCCUGUCCAGUCCUGCAGACAAGGGGAGGCCUGACAGAGCCCGAGAAUGAGGACGCCCUCGGCACGGGAACCCAUUCACUUAGCGUUUGCUCCAGUAGCUUUCCCUCUGCUACCGAUGCAGAUAAACGCGGCUUGUUUUACUCAGAAAGGCAAGAGAAUGUGAAUGGUGCCAAAAAAACCCUUUAUUUAAUAAAAAUUGAAUCCAUUUUCUA